Molecule: long non-coding RNA, 785 nt
Filed under: Ananas comosus (pineapple)
Lineage: Eukaryota; Viridiplantae; Streptophyta; Magnoliopsida; Poales; Bromeliaceae
Description: long non-coding RNA (ACOM_LNC004191)
Source: RNAcentral
CAGGCCAUAAAAUUUCCAUUCUUUUAUAUCAUACUAGUGAAUUACCCGCGCGAUGCUGCGGAUAUAAAAUUAUUUUUAUAAUAAAUUUUAUUUUUUAAAUAUUUUUAUAUAGUUUUAUAAGUCUAAUUAUUAAUUAAAUAAAAAUUAUAUAAAAAUAAUUUAAUAGUUAAAUCUAUUUAAAUAAAAGUCAUUAAAAUUGGUAUAUGCCGAAAGUAAAUUUAUACAAUUAUUUAUUUUAUAAAAAUUUAUAUGAAAAGAAUUUGAGAUAAAUCUAUCAAAAUAAUUUUAUUAAAAAAUCAAUAAAUAGAAGAAAAUUAAAAUUGUAAAUGAAAUUGUUUAAUAAAAUUAAUUAUAUAUACACAGAAAUACAUUAUAUUUCUAAAAUUUUACUCCUAAAAUUUAAAUACUAUAUUUUUUUUUAUACAAUGAUAUUUUAUGUGAUUUAAAUUGUAUCUAUCAGGUUAGAUUAAUUUUAUUACGUGAUUUAUUAUGCAUAUUAUUAAUAAAAUUAAUUAAUUAUAUUAUAAUUUAAUUAGUUAUUAUAAUUUAGAAUUUAAAAUUAAAAUUAUGAAUAUUAUAAGUUAAAAUUAAAAUUUAGAAUUUAAAAUAAAAAAUUUUAAAAUUUAAAAUUUUAAAUUUUAAAAUUUUAAAUUUUAAAUUUUAAAAUUUUAAAAUUUGAAAGUAUCAAAACUUUAAAUUUUUAUAUCAAAAUUUAAUUACUAAUAAGCUGUUAUACAAUUUAUUAAUAAAAUUAAUUUUAUAUAUAUAUAUAUAUAUAUAUAUAU